This 844-nucleotide ribosomal RNA is filed under the name Chloridium sp. 2 JEH-2019. Its description in RNAcentral is "partial large subunit ribosomal RNA". It matches the Rfam family "Eukaryotic large subunit ribosomal RNA", at positions 77 to 954 of the family's 3401-position model. Lineage: Eukaryota; Fungi; Ascomycota; Sordariomycetes; Chaetosphaeriales; Chaetosphaeriaceae. The record is from RNAcentral.
GCCUCAGUAACGGCGAGUGAAGCGGCAACAGCUCAAAUUUGAAAUCUGGCCUCUGGCCCGAGUUGUAAUUUGCAGAGGAUGCUUCGGGCGCGGUGCCUUCCAAGUCCCCUGGAACGGGGCGCCGGAGAGGGUGAGAGCCCCGUACGGUUGGCGGCCAAGCCUGUGUGAAGCUCCUUCGACGAGUCGAGUAGUUUGGGAAUGCUGCUCUAAGCGGGAGGUAGACCCCUUCUAAAGCUAAAUAUUGGCCAGAGACCGAUAGCGCACAAGUAGAGUGAUCGAAAGAUGAAAAGCACUUUGAAAAGAGGGUUAAACAGCACGUGAAAUUGUUGAAAGGGAAGCGCUUGCGACCAGACGUGCGCCGGGGUGCUCAGCGGGCGUUCUCGCCCGUGCACUCGCCCCGGCGCAGGCCAGCGUCGGUUUGGGCGGGGGGAUAAAGGCGCCUGGAAUGUGGCUCCCUCGGGAGUGUUAUAGCCAGGCGUGCCAUGCCUCCGCCCGGACCGAGGUACGCGUUCUGCAAGGACGCUGGCGUAAUGGUCCCCAGCGACCCGUCUUGAAACACGGACCAAGGAGUCGAGGUUUUGCGCGAGUGUUUGGGUGGAAAACCCGCACGCGUAAUGAAAGUGAACGUAGGUGAGAGCUUCGGCGCAUCACCGACCGAUCCUGAUGUUCUCGGAUGGAUUUGAGUAAGAGCGUAGGGCCUCGGACCCGAAAGAUGGUGAACUAUGCUUGGAUAGGGUGAAGCCAGAGGAAACUCUGGUGGAGGCUCGCAGCGGUUCUGACGUGCAAAUCGAUCGUCAAAUCUGAGCAUGGGGGCGAAAGACUAAUCGAACCAUCUAGUAGCUGG